ACUGCCUGAUGGAGGGGGAUAACUACUGGAAACGGUAGCUAAUACCGCAUAACGUCGCAAGACCAAAGAGGGGGCUUCGGCCUCUUGCCAUCGGAUGUGCCCAGAUGGGAUUAGCUAGUAGGUGGGGUAACGGCUCACCUAGGCGACGAUCCCUAGCUGGUCUGAGAGGAUGACCAGCCACACUGGAACUGAGACACGGUCCAGACUCCUACGGGAGGCAGCAGUGGGGAAUAUUGCACAAUGGGCGCAAGCCUGAUGCAGCCAUGCCGCGUGUUGAAGAAGGCCUUCGGGUUGUAAAGACUUUCAGCGGGGAGGAAGGGUUAAUAACGAUUGACGUUACCCGCAGAAGAAGCACCGGCUAACUCCGUGCCAGCAGCCGCGGUAAUACGGAGGGUGCAAGCGUUAAUCGGAAUUACUGGGCGUAAAGCGCACGCAGGCGGUCUGUCAAGUCGGAUGUGAAAUCCCCGGGCUCAACCUGGGAACUGCAUUCGAAACUGGCAGGCUAGAGUCUUGUAGAGGGGGGUAGAAUUCCAGGUGUAGCGGUGAAAUGCGUAGAGAUCUGGAGGAAUACCGGUGGCGAAGGCGGCCCCCUGGACAAAACUGACGCUCAGGUGCGAAAGCGUGGGGAGCAAACAGGAUUAGAUACCCUGGUAGUCCACGCCGUAAACGAUGUCGACUUGGAGGUUGUGCCCUUGAGGCGUGGCUUCCGGAGCUAACGCGUUAAGUCGACCGCCUGGGGAGUACGGCCGCAAGGUUAAAACUCAAAUGAAUUGACGGGGGCCCGCACAAGCGGUGGAGCAUGUGGUUUAAUUCGAUGCAACGCGAAGAACCUUACCUACUCUUGACAUCCAGAGAAUCAGAGAUGGUGCCUUCGGGACUCUGAGACAGGUGCUGCAUGGCUGUCGUCAGCUCGUGUUGUGAAAUGUUGGGUUAAGUCCCGCAACGAGCGCAACCCUUAUCCUUUGUUGCCAGCGUUAGGCCGGGAACUCAAAGGAGACUGCCAGUGAUAAACUGGAGGAAGGUGGGGAGACGUCAAGUCAUCAUGGCCCUUACGAGUAGGGCUACACACGUGCUACAAUGGCGCAUACAAAGAGAA
This 1096-nucleotide ribosomal RNA is filed under the name Vibrio sp. O33wJune. Its description in RNAcentral is "bacterial SSU rRNA". It matches the Rfam family "Bacterial small subunit ribosomal RNA", at positions 125 to 1248 of the family's 1533-position model. The record is from RNAcentral. Lineage: Bacteria; Pseudomonadati; Pseudomonadota; Gammaproteobacteria; Vibrionales; Vibrionaceae. RNAcentral also lists the same sequence under 1 other name.